RNAcentral lists this ribosomal RNA (484 nucleotides) under uncultured bacterium. RNAcentral describes it as "partial 16S ribosomal RNA". It matches the Rfam family "Bacterial small subunit ribosomal RNA", at positions 30 to 507 of the family's 1533-position model. The record is from RNAcentral.
AUUGAACGCUGGCGGCAGGCCUAACACAUGCAAGUCGAGCGGAUGAAGGGAGCUUGCUCCUGGAUUCAGCGGCGGACGGGUGAGUAAUGCCUAGGAAUCUGCCUGGUAGUGGGGGAUAACGUCCGGAAACGGGCGCUAAUACCGCAUACGUCCUGAGGGAGAAAGUGGGGGAUCUUCGGACCUCACGCUAUCAGAUGAGCCUAGGUCGGAUUAGCUAGUUGGUGGGGUAAAGGCCUACCAAGGCGACGAUCCGUAACUGGUCUGAGAGGAUGAUCAGUCACACUGGAACUGGGACACGGUCCAGACUCCUACGGGAGGCAGCAGUGGGGAAUAUUGGACAAUGGGCGAAAGCCUGAUCCAGCCAUGCCGCGUGUGUGAAGAAGGUCUUCGGAUUGUAAAGCACUUUAAGUUGGGAGGAAGGGCAGUAAGUUAACACCUUGCUGUUUUGACGUUACCAACAGAAUAAGCACCGGCUAACUUCGUG